GAUGAACGCUGGCGGCGUGCCUAACACAUGCAAGUCGAACGGAGAUUACGGACGGAAGUUUUCGGAUGGAAGACUGUAAUUCUUAGUGGCGGACGGGUGAGUAACGCGUGGGCAACCUGCCCUAUACAGGGGGAUAGCAGCUGGAAACGGCUGGUAAGACCGCAUAAGUCGGUUAAAUCGCAUGAUUUGAUCGGGAAAUGAGCAAUCAGGUAUAGGAUGGGCCCGCGUCCGAUUAGCCAGUUGGCAGGGUAAAAGCCUACCAAAGCGACGAUCGGUAGCCGGGCUGAGAGGUCGGACGGACACAUUGGGACUGAGACACGGCCCAAACUCCUACGGGAGGCAGCAGUGGGGGAUAUUGCACAAUGGAGGAAACUCUGAUGCAGCGACGCCGCGUGAGUGAAGAAGUAUUUCGGUAUGUAAAGCUCUAUCAGCAGGGAAGAUGAUGACGGUACCUGACUAAGAAGCCCCGGCUAACUACGUG
Molecule: ribosomal RNA, 481 nt
Filed under: uncultured bacterium
Lineage: Bacteria
Description: partial 16S ribosomal RNA
Rfam family: Bacterial small subunit ribosomal RNA
Source: RNAcentral